Molecule: small RNA, 1884 nt
Filed under: Histoplasma ohiense
Lineage: Eukaryota; Fungi; Ascomycota; Eurotiomycetes; Onygenales; Ajellomycetaceae
Description: hypothetical lncRNA
Source: RNAcentral
UCCCCUUCAAUUGUGUAAGUUACUGUUUUCCUUGUUCAAAUAUAAUUUCCGCGACGAUGGAUCAAUCGUCAUAGAUUGAACGAAGCAAGCAUCCACUUCCCUAUCUCUCAACACCCUACCUCUUGCGGCUUUGAAGAUGCAAAGUUCGAAAGCAUCGAGUUAUCUAGAUAUAUACCGUACCAUAGGGAUGGUUUAGCGGCGCCACCUUACUAUAUAAACCCCCUCCUUCUGCUGCUUGAACAUCUUCUCUUCAUUGUGUCUAUUUUUCCUUUCUUUUCUUGUAACUGCCCUGUCUGAUGUGUGUCAUUGCCAUCCCUUCUUCCCUCUGACUUCCAUCAUUAGUAUCACCUGGCUCAGCUGUGCCAUAGCUGAAGCUGUUUUCAACAUGGUGAUCACUGACAUGUCCACUGUUCUUCUUUCUCAAUACGUUUCACCUCCCUCUACUGUCAAGUUACUCUAAAAUCAUGCACAGACUGAGAUCCGCUAUUGAAAUAUCUAAUCUGUAUGGGGCCGUGACUGACUGAGGUUUUCUGUUCACUUUUGUUGAUCUCAUUUUCUUAUCGCCAUCUAAUGGCCGAUAUUCGAAAUACGCACUUGCUUUCAUUGAACUCGCUAUGGUAGGUGUCUAUACGGACAUCGAAACUUUCACGCGCCAACAGCUAGAGUUCAGGGCCUGAAGAAUACUGGAUAUGACACUACAGUUCCCUCCGUGUUAUACACAAUUAUCGACCCUGCAAACAACUAUCACACAUUCCCUCAAGAGGUACGAACUGAACGACCCGAAAUACUUUUUGUCUUUCCUCUGAAAAGAGAACAUUGGGUUGUGAUGGGAAAGACUCCGACAAAACAUAACUUUCUAGCUCUAUUGAAAUGAAUAUCUUCCAAGAUAUGAAUUUGAUUGACUUACUAAAAUCCUGGAGCUUCGACAGCAGUGAGCAGAAGUCAUACAUUGUUAAGAUCAUCAGAAAGGUUCUUGAAGGCUGCUUUUCAUUCUAGUAUUUAAGUUAAAAAUAAGCAAUCCUCUUCUUAUCUCACUCUCUUUUACUCUAUCCUUCUUUCUGCUUUUAUCCACCUUCUUUGUCGCCUCCUAACCUCUCCACACCGGUGACCCCAAGACACAACAAACAACCAACAACAUCUUUUGAUCCAUUCCCCAGCUCAGCCUCAAUACAAAGUCAGCACACUCAGAAACAAGUUCUCCAGCAAGGAUAAAAAUAUUCUUUAACUCCAGGUGACUACCGAAUACCAAAAGCUCUCACAUUGCCUCGCCCAGCUGCCAGCGCAUCCAUUUCCCGCAUGUCAUCCAUAAUUGGUUGAUACAAGUAAUGCUGUGAAAGUGAAAAACGAAUGUAGUUCGGGAAUGACGGAGUGUAUAGUGAGACCCAAAUGCGGACCACAUAGAUGUCCUCACUUUGUUGAGAAACCAAGGAGUCCGACUGAGUUUCCUGGUGCUAUUGACUGAACUUUGAAGCUUGAGGUGGCAUUCUGAUGAAGCAAUUCCCUACAGCGCUCCAAGCUGAUCCGAGCUUUUGAGAGUUCUUUAGAAAAGAUAGAUCUGUUCUUCUCAAGCCUUCUCUUCUUUAGCCCAAGGUUCGGUGAUAUAGCAGAUAGCGCAUUUUGGAUCUCAGCUCGUUCAAAAUCUACAAACAUAGGGCGAUUGCAGUCCUCAUUCCAUAAAAUAUUUCGUGGCUCGACAUCACGGUGGAGUACCCCUGCAAGGUGAAUUGCUUGAAGAGACUGUGAUGUCAUCUCAAUCAUGCAUGCUGAAUUAUCUGACUUCAUAAUUUCCGAGAUGGGCUUUCCCGCCCAGCUCAAAAGGAGCAUAUGGGUAUAAACUCCCCCAUCAUAGUAAUACGGGUAUUUUGGAUCAAGCACAACAAUCCC